GAUGAACGCUGGCGGCGUGCCUAAUACAUGCAAGUAGAACGCUGAAGCUUGGUGCUUGCACCGAGCGGAUGAGUUGCGAACGGGUGAGUAACGCGUAGGUAACCUGCCUGGUAGCGGGGGAUAACUAUUGGAAACGAUAGCUAAUACCGCAUGACAACAGUUAUUGCAUGAUAACUGUUUAAAAGGGGCAACUGCUCCACUACCAGAUGGACCUGCGUUGUAUUAGCUAGUUGGUGAGGUAACGGCUCACCAAGGCGACGAUACAUAGCCGACCUGAGAGGGUGAUCGGCCACACUGGGACUGAGACACGGCCCAGACUCCUACGGGAGGCAGCAGUAGGGAAUCUUCGGCAAUGGACGGAAGUCUGACCGAGCAACGCCGCGUGAGUGAAGAAGGUUUUCGGAUCGUAAAGCUCUGUUGUAAGAGAAGAACGAGUGUGAGAGUGGAAAGUUCACACUGUGACGGUAUCUUACCAG
Molecule: ribosomal RNA, 476 nt
Filed under: Streptococcus sp. oral taxon 074
Lineage: Bacteria; Bacillati; Bacillota; Bacilli; Lactobacillales; Streptococcaceae
Description: bacterial SSU rRNA
Rfam family: Bacterial small subunit ribosomal RNA
Source: RNAcentral